Molecule: long non-coding RNA, 1216 nt
Filed under: Homo sapiens (human)
Lineage: Eukaryota; Metazoa; Chordata; Mammalia; Primates; Hominidae
Description: novel transcript
Source: RNAcentral
GAAGUGAUGGGAUCAAUAAAACUUGGAAUUGUCUAACAAGAAAGGGCCAGUUUCUUGCUUAUUAUAUUUGUAAUAACAGAGUCCAUUGGGUAGCACUCCGGUCUGUGAAAGUCAGUGAAUCAAUAAUGCUCUUGUGGUCUGGAUAAUAAUAUACCUUGGCAUGGUGUGAGUGAUGCCAGCAGGUGGGCGGAGAGGCAGGGAAGGAAAGGUCUCAUGCCUUUCAGGUUGACACUAAGAAAGAGGCUUCCAUUCCUUUCCCUGUUCUACCACAUUCUCCUAAUGUGUAUAAGAAAUUAUUCAAAGACAGCAACAGAUUUCCCUCCUGACCUUUAUAGUUGCUGGUUUGGAAUGAUUUUUGGCUGCUUGCUGGAAAAAAAAAUUAUUGCAGAGAUGAAUUGUCAGGACAUCCGCUCCCCUUCCCAUCAGCUUUAUAAACAUUUUGUACUGGAGGCAGUGUGUGUGUGCAGAAGAAACGCUAUGGAAAGUGCUGUAGAAACAAGUGUGGUUUGUUGGCUACCAAAUCUCAAGGCUAUGCUCACUGGUCAGAAUGGUUGGUGUCCAGACCCCCAGCCCCUCAGAUUCUGAGAUGUCUGUGUACCAGGGUAGCACCAGGGAUGGGUUUUCUCUGAGACUGUCUUUUCAUGAUACAGUGUAAAAUGUUUCCCAUGAAAGGGCAGAGCUGAAGAAGCAGUGCAAGUCCAUUUGAAGACCUCUGGAAGGAAACCCCCAGCGGCUCUUUUUUCACUGAACAAGCAUUGUGGGAAUUUGGGGCUCGGCUGUGUAAUUUGUCCUCUUCUCAUUCAUUCAGGACAUGUUCAGCACCAGGAGGAAUUUGCAUCCAAGUCCGUCUCCCUGCUAAGUGGUAUUUUGAGAAUUCCGAAGCUUAGUCUCAGAGAAGAGCUGACCUGAACUUGCCGAGGCUCCCACUGCAUUGUAGCUUUUCUCUGGAGAACAAAAACUGCCAUUGUCCAGCAGCUCAUUAGCAUGACUGUACAGCCUCCGGAGUUAGCAAGGUGAUGCAAAAAUAAUAUGACAAGAUCCAUGUCUUCAAUGAGCUACAAUCCUACUGGGACAUGAGACUGUGCUUAUAAUAUGAUGAAAGAAUAAGAAAAUUUUAAAGAUGAAAACACAGCAGCAACAGGUGCCAUUUUGGAAGCAAGAAGCAGAGAACAAGCUCUCACUGGGCAUUAAAUCUGCCGGCAUCUUGAUCUUGAAC